RNAcentral lists this ribosomal RNA (424 nucleotides) under Verrucomicrobiota bacterium. Its description in RNAcentral is "Verrucomicrobia bacterium partial 16S ribosomal RNA". It matches the Rfam family "Bacterial small subunit ribosomal RNA", at positions 355 to 776 of the family's 1533-position model. The record is from RNAcentral. Lineage: Bacteria; Pseudomonadati; Verrucomicrobiota.
UGAGGAAUAUUGGUCAAUGGACGCAAGUCUGAACCAGCCAAGUAGCGUGCAGGAUGACGGCCCUAUGGGUUGUAAACUGCUUUUAUAUGGGGAUAAAGUGGGGAACGUGUUCCCUUUUGCAGGUACCAUAUGAAUAAGGACCGGCUAAUUCCGUGCCAGCAGCCGCGGUAAUACGGAAGGUUCGGGCGUUAUCCGGAUUUAUUGGGUUUAAAGGGAGCGUAGGCCGUUUGGUAAGCGUGUUGUGAAAUGUAGGAGCUCAACUUCUAGAUUGCAGCGCGAACUGUCAGACUUGAGUGCACACAACGUAGGCGGAAUUCAUGGUGUAGCGGUGAAAUGCUUAGAUAUCAUGAAGAACUCCGAUUGCGAAGGCAGCUUACGGGAGCGCAACUGACGCUGAAGCUCGAAGGUGCGGGUAUCGAACGGG